AGAAUCAACGCUGGCGGCGUGCCUAACACAUGCAAGUCGCACGAGAAAGGGUAGCAAUACCUGAGUACAGUGGCGCACGGGUGAGUAACACGUGAAUAAUCUACCUCCGAGUGGGGAAUAAACUGAGAGAAAUCUUAGCUAAUACCGCAUAAUACCCACGGGUCAAAGCAGCAAUGCGCUUGGAGAGGAGUUCGCGGCAGAUUAGUUAGUUGGCGGGGUAAUGGCCCACCAAGACGAUGAUCUGUAUCCGGCCUGAGAGGGCGCACGGGACACACUGGAACUGAAACACGGUCCAGACUCCUACGGGAGGCAGCAGUGGGGAAUUUUGCGCAAUGGGGGAAACCCUGACGCAGCAACGCCGCGUGGAGGAUGAAGCCCCUUGGGGUGUAAACUCCUUUCGGAUCGGGAAGAUAAUGACGGUACCGAUAUAAGAAGCCCGGCUAACUUCGCGCCAGCAGCCGC
This 462-nucleotide ribosomal RNA is filed under the name uncultured bacterium. RNAcentral's name for it is "SSU rRNA". It matches the Rfam family "Bacterial small subunit ribosomal RNA", at positions 26 to 518 of the family's 1533-position model. The record is from RNAcentral.